GGCCUUGAAGUGUGGACAUGUCGAAUUGCAAAUUCNNNGAAGCAGCUUCAACUCUGCCGGGGCUU
This 65-nucleotide transfer RNA is filed under the name Mammut americanum (American mastodon). RNAcentral describes it as "tRNA-Cys". The record is from RNAcentral. Lineage: Eukaryota; Metazoa; Chordata; Mammalia; Proboscidea; Mammutidae.